This 2054-nucleotide long non-coding RNA is filed under the name Lathyrus oleraceus (garden pea). Its description in RNAcentral is "Pisum sativum (pea) long non-coding RNA (PSAT_LNC009050)". Lineage: Eukaryota; Viridiplantae; Streptophyta; Magnoliopsida; Fabales; Fabaceae. The record is from RNAcentral.
AUUAAGCAUUAAUAUAUUAAUUAAAUAAAAUAAACUAAUUAAACAAUAUUAGAAAAAAAUAUAAUGAAAUAAAUGGAUGAUACAAAAAACAAAAGAAUAAAUAAACGAAAAUAAAGAAAAAUAAAAUGGGUAAGUGGGCCUUAAAAUAAUGACUAAGCCCAAAUGGGUGCUGCCAGACCUAAAACGGGGGGUUCCAAAAGAAAACGUGAUAUAGGCCCUAAGUACGAACGACCCAUUCAAAUUCUGAAAGGCCUAAAGAAAGUCUCAGUCAACCACGUUGACUAAGAGGGAUGCUCCAAACCGGCGGAUCUGGAGAUUUGACUUGGUCUGUAGAUCUCGCGGUGGAAAUAAGGAGAUGCAUGAUAAUAGGGAGUAUACUAGCGCGCGAGAUUAAUGGAAAAGGGUCAUCCUGUUGGUGACAAGUGUCCAUGGUGGAGACACUUGUCACCACCGCCCCUAAGCCCAUAGUGGAGACUUAAAACUACUGACCCAAAGAAUUGAAAUCAUUUCAAGAAAAAAUUCUCUCUCUUCACUCCCAAACGCAGUAUGCUCUGCAAGUUCUCUCACCCUUUAUGAGAAACCUUCACCAGAGAAGAUGGUGGUUUCCAGCCACCUGAGGAGGCGUCACCUUCUUCUUCGGCAUACCAACCCAAAACCAAAAACGUUAAACACUAACCCUCCUUCUUUUUUCCUCCUCGAUCCGAAUCUGAAAACCUUUUCUUCCAAAUCCUCCAUAUAUGACCGGGUCGACCUCCCCAACUCAAAACUCAAAUUCUCUCCCUAAACCCAAAGUCAAAUUCCCUCUUACAUACGAACCCAGAACUAUCAAUCCCCAAAAUGACAAUAGAAAAAGCCAUAAACCACAAAUACGAAACCAAACCCUAAAUUAAAAUUAGCCACCAAUGUUAAUGAUUUCAAAAACACAAGGGGUUUAUGCUCAACUAUAUGUGACGAAGACAAUGGUGACCGAAAAUUAAAGAGAUAAUGAAGACUCACCAGAUCGGAGCUAGUCCGACAAUCUUUUCGGCAAGGUCAAUAUCUUUCGAAUCUUUUUGUCUUCUUACUUUUCUAUUCUUCCGUCCCUUUUUCUUCUCCUUCUCUGUUAGACACUUUAGAGUAUGCUUAUAGCUCAACCUUACUCAAACUCUGAUGCUGAGUUUGAGAGGUUAAUAAAAAAUGAGCUUUAUGAUUGGUGAGGGAAGAAAUUCGUAGAGUAACCUUAGGACCUCCUUUGCGAUGGCGUAAUAGUCGUAUUUAUAGGGCAUGAAUGGGAAAUGAGGGUGGAAUGAGAUACGUGCGAAAAUUGUUAGUUUCUUAGGAUUUUUCCUUGACUCGUGUGUAAAUCCGUUGAGAAUGAGGUGAGCUGUGAUUUUCUGUAGAUUAUCUUGUUGGUACAUUUUAUACAAUCCCUAACUUUGUGGGAUUCCCUUUGUGAGUGGUGUGAGGCGGGUUUUGCAGCGCUAAUUCAUAAUCUUUCUUAAUUCCUCAUAUGAUAAUGUGUAUGAUGUAUAACUUGCUGCCGAUGAUUGCGUUUUGAACAUGUAAUGGUCGGUAUAAUACAUGUCGUGCGUUUGCUUUGAGGGUCCCAUUUUGGGUUAUUUUGUUUUGCUUGAUAUUUUAGUAUUUUAUUGCACUACAUCUGCACUUUGUUAUGAUAAUUUUGCCAAGUAAUUAUUGAGUAGAAUAUGCUGUGCAAAAAAAUAUGAAUACCGUAAUAAUUGAUGGAAUUUCGGUGUUUACGCAGGUCUUGCUGAGAGAAAAUGAAGGACAUGGUAAAUGAAGGACAUGGUAAAUCAAGGACAUGGUAGGAGUGUGGAAAGCAUAGGCACGUGGGGACCGUUCAAAGACGUCGAAUCCUCUUUCACUUUUUUGUACUUUUUUUUUGUAUUAGACAUCAUGGAACAAUACUUUGUAUUAGUAAAAUAUUUUAUCCAUGUAGUGUGCAAACUUCUAUCUAACGAAGUACUUAUUUUAAUUGCAAGUUGAUCACUCCAUCUUAUUACAAAUGAAAUCUGAAGGUUUGAUUCAUCAUAAGACAAUAAUCAACAUCCAAU